RNAcentral lists this ribosomal RNA (545 nucleotides) under Paenibacillus sp. Its description in RNAcentral is "bacterial SSU rRNA". It matches the Rfam family "Bacterial small subunit ribosomal RNA", at positions 817 to 1360 of the family's 1533-position model. Lineage: Bacteria; Bacillati; Bacillota; Bacilli; Caryophanales; Paenibacillaceae. The record is from RNAcentral.
UAGGUGUUAGGGGUUUCGAUACCCUUGGUGCCGAAGUUAACACAUUAAGCAUUCCGCCUGGGGAGUACGGUCGCAAGACUGAAACUCAAAGGAAUUGACGGGGACCCGCACAAGCAGUGGAGUAUGUGGUUUAAUUCGAAGCAACGCGAAGAACCUUACCAGGUCUUGACAUCCCUCUGACCGUCCUAGAGAUAGGGCUUUCCUUCGGGACAGAGGAGACAGGUGGUGCAUGGUUGUCGUCAGCUCGUGUCGUGAGAUGUUGGGUUAAGUCCCGCAACGAGCGCAACCCUUGAUCUUAGUUGCCAGCACUUCGGGUGGGCACUCUAAGGUGACUGCCGGUGACAAACCGGAGGAAGGUGGGGAUGACGUCAAAUCAUCAUGCCCCUUAUGACCUGGGCUACACACGUACUACAAUGGCCGGUACAACGGGCUGUGAAGCCGCGAGGUGGAACGAAUCCUAAAAAGCCGGUCUCAGUUCGGAUUGCAGGCUGCAACUCGCCUGCAUGAAGUCGGAAUUGCUAGUAAUCGCGNGAUCAGCAUGCCGC